UGGGGAAUUUUGCGCAAUGGGGGAAACCCUGACGCAGCAACGCCGCGUGCGGGACGAAGGCCUUCGGGUUGUAAACCGCUUUCAGCAGGGACGAAUUCCGACGGUACCUGCAGAAGAAGCCCCGGCUAACUACGUGCCAGCAGCCGCGGUAAUACGUAGGGGGCGAGCGUUAUCCGGAUUCAUUGGGCGUAAAGCGCGCGUAGGCGGCGCGUCAAGCGGGACCUCUAACCCCGGGGCUCAACCCCGGGCCGGGUCCCGGACUGGCGCGCUCGAGUGCGGUAGAGGCGAGUGGAAUUCCCGGUG
Molecule: ribosomal RNA, 303 nt
Filed under: uncultured bacterium
Lineage: Bacteria
Description: bacterial SSU rRNA
Rfam family: Bacterial small subunit ribosomal RNA
Source: RNAcentral